Triticum aestivum (bread wheat) is the source of this 893-nucleotide long non-coding RNA. RefSeq lists it as uncharacterized. Lineage: Eukaryota; Viridiplantae; Streptophyta; Magnoliopsida; Poales; Poaceae. The transcript is spliced from 3 exons. The record is from RefSeq and is a predicted model, not a curated record.
CCAGCAUCUCCCACCUCGGGAUCCCUCCAGAUCCACCCUCUCUCCUUCCCUCGUUUUCCCCACUGGAUCAAUCCAUCUCCCACCUCGACUCCGAGUGCCCCUGCAGCCUCCCGCGUCUGAUCUAGGGAGAGCAGCACCCUCCCGAGCUCCUCCAUGCCGUGCCCCUUCUCCAAGUCCUGCGCCUCUCCUCUAGCUCCCUGCCGUCGUCCCCGGCGAGCAGUUCUGCUAGCAGCCACCAGCAGGACAGCCACGCUCGCGCCUCUCCUUCCUUUCCCUUUCUUCUCCUGUUGCCUUUCCCUCUCAUGCUCUCUCUCCCAGGUACGCCCGUGCAGGAGCCGCAAGGAGGAAGCCGCCAUCACCAAGCUCUUGCCGUGCGCGCCUGGAUCCGCCAUCCCCGGCUCCUCCGCGCUCGAUUCCCGUCGCUGCGCCAAGUCCCUCGUCCCGCUCGUCUCCGACACCAGCGCCGUCCGCCCCGGCAACCUCGACGUCGAGCUCCAGUAGGAACUGCUUCGCGCGCCCCUGUCCCCGCAAGCGUUUGAGGCUGCGCCCAACUCCUCGUCCAGCCCCUCCCCGUCACCUGCAUCUCCUCCGGCAGCGCCGCCGUGCCCGCACGCCUAUGGUGAAGCUUCGGGAGCUCCGACGCCCUGGAGACCGAUGCCCCCGCCGGACCUCCUUCCUCCGCAUCCGGCCACGCCGGCGGCAAGCCCUGCCUCCGCCGCCUCGCCAAGUUUCGCCGCCUGAACCUCCCUGCAUCGCCAUGGCCGCCGGCCUCUGUUUUCCCCGCUCUUUGGUUUCUUUCCGGAGUUGUGAGGAUUCGUUCGACUCCGUCCGUUUGUCUUCUUCAUGGACUCGUUCUUCUUCCUAGCGGGAUCGCAGGCAAGAUGACCAUACCC